RNAcentral lists this ribosomal RNA (253 nucleotides) under uncultured bacterium. RNAcentral describes it as "partial 16S ribosomal RNA". It matches the Rfam family "Bacterial small subunit ribosomal RNA", at positions 524 to 776 of the family's 1533-position model. The record is from RNAcentral.
GACGUAGGAUGCAAGCGUUGUUCGGAUUUAUUGGGCGUAAAGCGUGUGUAGGUGGUUGCUUAAGUCUGGUGUUAAAAGCAGGAGCUCAACUCCUGGCAUGCACUGGAUACUGGGCGGCUAGACCCCGGUAGAGGAAGGUGGAAUUCCUGGUGUAGCGGUGGAAUGCGUAGAUAUCAGGAGGAACACCUGUGGCGAAAGCGGCCUUCUGGGCCGGUGGUGACACUGAGACACGAAGGCGUGGGGAGCAAACGGG